RNAcentral lists this ribosomal RNA (262 nucleotides) under uncultured bacterium. RNAcentral describes it as "partial 16S ribosomal RNA". It matches the Rfam family "Bacterial small subunit ribosomal RNA", at positions 524 to 781 of the family's 1533-position model. The record is from RNAcentral.
GACGGAGGAUGCAAGUGUUAUCCGGAAUCACUGGGCGUAAAGCGUCUGUAGGUUGUUUAAAAAAGUCUGCAGUUAAAGGUUGAAGCUUAACUUCAAAAAAUGCCGUAGAAAACUUUUUAAACUAGAGGAUGGUAGGGGUAGAGGGAAUUUCCAGUGGAGCGGUGAAAUGUGUAGAUAUUGGAAAGACCACCAAUGGCGAAGGCACUCUACUGGGCCAUUACUGACACUGAGAGACGAAAGCUAGGGGAGCAAAUGGGAUUAG